Molecule: transfer RNA, 85 nt
Filed under: Klebsiella pneumoniae
Lineage: Bacteria; Pseudomonadati; Pseudomonadota; Gammaproteobacteria; Enterobacterales; Enterobacteriaceae
Also listed under: 22 other names
Description: tRNA-Ser
Rfam family: tRNA
About the family: Transfer RNA (tRNA) molecules are approximately 80 nucleotides in length. Their secondary structure includes four short double-helical elements and three loops (D, anti-codon, and T loops). Further hydrogen bonds mediate the characteristic L-shaped molecular structure. tRNAs have two regions of fundamental functional importance: the anti-codon, which is responsible for specific mRNA codon recognition, and the 3' end, to which the tRNAs corresponding amino acid is attached (by aminoacyl-tRNA synthetases). tRNAs cope with the degeneracy of the genetic code in two manners: having more than one tRNA (with a specific anti-codon) for a particular amino acid; and 'wobble' base-pairing, i.e. permitting non-standard base-pairing at the 3rd anti-codon position.
Source: RNAcentral
GGAGAGUAGUGCUCAUGGGAGCAAGCUGACUUGAAAUCAGUCGCCAUCGGAAACGGUGAGGGUUCGAUUCCUUUAUUCUCCGCCA